UNUGACUUGAGUGCAGAAGGGGAGAGUGGAAUUCCAUGUGUAGCGGUGAAAUGCGUAGAUAUAUGGAGGAACACCAGUGGCGAAAGCGGCUCUCUGNUCUGUCACUGACGCUGAGGCUCGAAAGCGUGGGUAGCGAACAGGAUUAGAUACCCUGGUAGUCCACGCCGUAAACGAUGAGUGCUAGGUGUUAGGCCCUUUCCGGGGCUUAGUGCCGGAGCUAACGCAAUAAGCACUCCGCCUGGGGAGUACGACCGCAAGGUUGAAACUCAAAGGAAUUGACGGGGGCCCGCACAAGCGGUGGAGCAUGUGGUUUAAUUCGAAGCAACGCGAAGAACCUUACCAGGUCUUGACAUCCCGAUGCUAUUCUUAGAGAUAGGAAGUUACUUCGGUACAUCGGAGACAGGUGGUGCAUGGUUGUCGUCAGCUCGUGUCGUGAGAUGUUGGGUUAAGUCCCGCAACGAGCGCAACCCUUAUUGUUAGUUGCCAUCAUUAAGUUGGGCACUCUAGCGAGACUGCCGGUAAUAAACCGGAGGAAGGUGGGGAUGACGUCAAAUCAUCAUGCCCCUUAUGACCUGGGCUACACACGUGCUACAAUGGUCGGUACAACGAGUUGCGAGCCGGUGACGGCAAGCUAAUCUCUGAAAGCCGAUCUCAGUUCGGAUUGGAGGCUGCAACUCGCCUCCAUGAAGUCGGAAUCGCUAGUAAUCGCGGAUCAGCACGCCGCGGUGAAUACGUUCCCGGGCCUUGUACACACCG
RNAcentral lists this ribosomal RNA (756 nucleotides) under uncultured bacterium. RNAcentral describes it as "bacterial SSU rRNA". It matches the Rfam family "Bacterial small subunit ribosomal RNA", at positions 636 to 1392 of the family's 1533-position model. The record is from RNAcentral.